RNAcentral lists this microRNA (20 nucleotides) under Monodelphis domestica (gray short-tailed opossum). RNAcentral's name for it is "mdo-miR-7386l-3p". Lineage: Eukaryota; Metazoa; Chordata; Mammalia; Didelphimorphia; Didelphidae. The record is from miRBase by way of RNAcentral.
AAUAGACACCUUAUCUUUGG